This 202-nucleotide long non-coding RNA is filed under the name Hordeum vulgare. RNAcentral's name for it is "long non-coding RNA (HVUL_LNC003936)". Lineage: Eukaryota; Viridiplantae; Streptophyta; Magnoliopsida; Poales; Poaceae. The record is from RNAcentral.
GUUGUGGUGUUUAUAUUCUGUGCUGUAAUGUAUUUUGUAACCUGUGCAAAUAUCAGAAAAGCAAAAAAUAAUAAUUCCUAAUACUCAUAGUAGUGGCGCACCAUCUAAAAGUGCGCCACUAGUAACCCACAUCAGUGUCGCACUUCUGGGCCUAGUAAUGGCGCACCAGGUGGUGCGCCAGUGUCAUGUAGAUUAACAGUGG